This 379-nucleotide unclassified non-coding RNA is filed under the name Hevea brasiliensis (rubber tree). Lineage: Eukaryota; Viridiplantae; Streptophyta; Magnoliopsida; Malpighiales; Euphorbiaceae. The record is from RNAcentral.
GAACCAAAGAGACAACAGCCACUAAGGUCAAGGCUGACGACGUGAUUAGUUUGGUCGUCACACUCCACACCAUCCCAUGAGCAGCAGUCACCUCUUUCUCCAUGGAUGAGUUUCCAUGAAUCCAAUUUUGAACGGCCAAAAGAAUAAUAACAAGUAUUAGAUAUGAUGAAGCUUUGUUUGAAUUGAAGCAAGGCCAAGCUCUCAUCACCAUGGCAUCGUAGCUGCAAAGAAGAAUUAAAAGGGUGAGUGAAUCCUGAAAGAUGGAAGAAGAAGAGAAUGGAAAGCAAUAGCCCAUAAAAAGAUAACUCCAUAUAUAAUCUUUCUUUUCUUUUCUUUGGUGAUUGAAAUCCUACAAGAGGCUUUAAUUUAUAGACAGAGU